This is a long non-coding RNA of Solanum tuberosum (potato), 740 nucleotides long. RefSeq lists it as uncharacterized. Lineage: Eukaryota; Viridiplantae; Streptophyta; Magnoliopsida; Solanales; Solanaceae. The record is from RefSeq and is a predicted model, not a curated record. The transcript has 2 exons.
UGAUGAACUGCGAUAGAAAAUUGAAUGGUUGUACUCUCAUAUUCCUAACUUGUCCAUUCCUUCUGAAACUGAGGGAAUGUUUUCCACAUUAUUAUUACUUUGCAUCAUUGUUGUCAUCAUCCUUAGUAUUGUUACUAUUCCUAUUGUUAUUUGUUAUUUGUGAUGUCAUUGUAAUAAUUGUUAUCGUUGUUAAUAUUUAUUUAUUAUUAUUAGUAGUAUUAUUAUCAUGAUCAUCUUUGUCAUCGCCGUUGUCACCAUUAUUUUUUCUCAUCCUAUGUUCUCUUGAUUUGUUGACUAUCAUCUGCAGGCUAUGGAUCAAGCUUCAGAGAAAGGUCUAAUUUUCAUUGAUGGAUCUGGACCCACAUAUGCUACUGCCACAGUAAGAAUAUAUCUCUUACGCAGCAGGCAAACCAAUGUUGGCCAAACAAAAAUUCGAGAACAGGGCAUAGUAUGCACAUAACAAAGCUCAAGAAGGUGAGUCGUUGGUGAGGAGGAGUACGAGAGUGAGAAAUAAGGCUUGCGAAUUCAAGAACGAUCAGGAUAAUGAUUGCAAAGGGAAACAAAGAAGAAUAACAAAGAAAAAAUAAGAAUAUUUUGGAAAUAAUGAGUGAAGCUUACUAGAAGGUGGUCAAAUUUAUAGAUGUUUUUUUAGGUGUAUUAAAUUUCUUUUGUUUUGUAGUUAUGGUAAUAUUUCAUAGUUUAUUAUCAAUGUAGAUUGUAGACUAUAAUUAAUCUCCUAA